UCCUUAGUGGUCCAGUGGCUAAGACUCUUCUCUCUCAAUGCAGGUGGUCCAGGUUCAAUCCCUGGUCAGGGAA
Molecule: transfer RNA, 73 nt
Organism: Ovis aries (sheep)
Lineage: Eukaryota; Metazoa; Chordata; Mammalia; Artiodactyla; Bovidae
Rfam family: tRNA
About the family: Transfer RNA (tRNA) molecules are approximately 80 nucleotides in length. Their secondary structure includes four short double-helical elements and three loops (D, anti-codon, and T loops). Further hydrogen bonds mediate the characteristic L-shaped molecular structure. tRNAs have two regions of fundamental functional importance: the anti-codon, which is responsible for specific mRNA codon recognition, and the 3' end, to which the tRNAs corresponding amino acid is attached (by aminoacyl-tRNA synthetases). tRNAs cope with the degeneracy of the genetic code in two manners: having more than one tRNA (with a specific anti-codon) for a particular amino acid; and 'wobble' base-pairing, i.e. permitting non-standard base-pairing at the 3rd anti-codon position.
Source: Rfam